UGGACUAUAGCUCAAGUGGCAGAGCGUGCGACUGUUAAUCGCAUGGUUGAAGGUUCAAGUCCUUCUAGUCCAG
Molecule: transfer RNA, 73 nt
Filed under: Caudoviricetes sp.
Lineage: Duplodnaviria; Heunggongvirae; Uroviricota; Caudoviricetes
Description: tRNA-Asn
Rfam family: tRNA
About the family: Transfer RNA (tRNA) molecules are approximately 80 nucleotides in length. Their secondary structure includes four short double-helical elements and three loops (D, anti-codon, and T loops). Further hydrogen bonds mediate the characteristic L-shaped molecular structure. tRNAs have two regions of fundamental functional importance: the anti-codon, which is responsible for specific mRNA codon recognition, and the 3' end, to which the tRNAs corresponding amino acid is attached (by aminoacyl-tRNA synthetases). tRNAs cope with the degeneracy of the genetic code in two manners: having more than one tRNA (with a specific anti-codon) for a particular amino acid; and 'wobble' base-pairing, i.e. permitting non-standard base-pairing at the 3rd anti-codon position.
Source: RNAcentral